Cydia splendana is the source of this 4223-nucleotide long non-coding RNA. RefSeq lists it as uncharacterized. The transcript is spliced from 2 exons. The record is from RefSeq and is a predicted model, not a curated record. Lineage: Eukaryota; Metazoa; Arthropoda; Insecta; Lepidoptera; Tortricidae.
GUCUCCCGCAUGUAUCGUAUUUUCGUGCAUAUUUUUAAUUGCGAUGUUGCGCUUUAUUCUUAUUUUAUUAAAAAAUACGCUAAAGUAAAAAAUCACGGUGGACCACCAUUGAACUGUCUUCAAUAUGAUAAGGAAUAGUAACAUUAGGGUGAGCGAACAAGCAAUGAAAUAUGAGAAAAAUAAGAAAUAGGCGGGACCACACAAAACGAACAGCCUCGCGAGGAAAUUGCCGCGCGAAGCAGCUCGGUGUGUCGACGUGCCUCGGCCGCAUUGCCUCGGGCGAGGCUAGUAUAUACAGACCGAACGGCUUUUUGCGGCAAUUUCCUCACGAGGCGGCUUGUUCUGUGUGGACCCGCCUAAUAACGUAGACAUGUAAAUUUGUUUAUUGCCUAACCGACGCCUCGACUAUAUUCGGUUUGUUUAGUUCUCGUAACGUUCAGUUGCGCUAGGUUUUACAGCCCUGACUUUAAUUUAAUUAGAAUUAGGCAGUAAAUAGGUGAAGGUCGGAAUUAUGUGUUUAUCUGUAAAUAGUCUUAAAGAAUCACAUGUGUACAAAUAAAAUAUAUUUAUGAUAAUAUAGUGAUGCAAACAUGGAAAUAAAUAUUUUGUGACAUGGUGUAUAGUUAAGCGACAGUAAACUAGUUGCAGCCAGCUAUUUUCAGUAUGUUACGUAAAGAGAUGCUCACAGGGCUUCACACAGUUCUUGCAUCAUGUCACUCUUGAGAGCGGACUCCGGACACGAACAGUGUCGUACGUUAACCUUUACGUAGUGGAAAUUAGGGUUAAAAUAAUUGAUGCUACGAAAAACUGGAAACAAUCUUUUAAAGUGAUAAAAGGUUGCCAGUAGAUCUAAUAUAGCAAUUCUAACUAUAGGUAGGUAGUAUGCAGUGAGAAUCAGAACAGUAGAGCUAGUAGUUGGGUUAGAAUUUCUAUCUUACUUUGGCAAUUCUUUAUAGCUUGAAAAGUUUGUCUCGCUCAGGACAGUCUACAACCAUACUGGCGUCGCGCAUUCUCAUUUCAUGUAGGUGCGACAGCAAUAUGCGUGCAAGUGAGACAUGUAGUAAAGGUCAAUGUCCGAAAUAGUUGGUGGUCGGCGGCCGCACUUUACUCGCACAUAUCAACUGUCCACCCCACUCACCGCUCGCUCGUGUAACAAACGCACAAAUACAUAUAGCAUAGUAAACUAUACAUUAGCGCAGAUAACUUAUGUAAUAGAUAUGCAAAGUCCCAUAUACCCAUACAUGAGGCGGGGAUAAAUAGGAAUAAUUCAUAUGAAUACACCUAUUCCACCACAGAUAUGCCCGGAAAUGGGAACACACCGAUAAAAUAGCUCUAGGUAGCACUGAUUCGGCGCCAUAUAUUUUGGACACUGCAAUUUGUCGCGGUAAGCGGAGCGAUAUAUCACAGGCCCGCGCGGCGAUGCGUCAUCAGUGUCAUGCCCCCCUUAGUAACAAACAGAUCUAGCGGUAGCGUGUCAAGCCAAGUUCAAAAGAACAGAGCCCGAGCUGCUUCGCGCGGCAAUUUCCUCGCGAGGCGGCUCUUCUGUGUGGACCCGCCUAAUCAACAUCACUAACAAUAUACGAGGUACGGCGCCGUGUUUACCACCCCCAAUAAAGUUGUAUCAUAGCUUGUUUCUUUAUAAUGGUUUUGCAAGUCUAUUAAUUUAGCUAUCUGUGGCAUUAGGUGGUUAGUUUCAUCAAAAGUUCAUUCUAAUAUAAAGAUCUGAGAAGUACUCGCAUUUUGACCAAUUAUCAAAAAUGUUAUUAUAAUACUGUAAUAGCGAUACUGGACAAUAGAAAAAUGCAAUUUUCAGUCAACUCUUAUCAGAAAACACUGGCAAAAGGUACAAUUGAAUUAUAGUUUUACUGCAUACUUAUAAGUAAAGAAAUCUUUAAAGUGUAGUAGUUAGUGGUACUAUGCCCGAUGGAGGGUUACAGCAUAAAUAAUUAAACUAACAUAGGUUCUGUUUAGAUGUUAAGUCCCGUAGCCUGUAUUUAUAUCAAUCUAAGACCUCAGACAAGUUAUCAAGUGCAAGGAUCUCGGUGUAAUAUGGACAAUAAGAGUUACCAGUUUGUGCAAGACUUGUUGCAAUUGCGAACAUGUCUGCCUUCGACAUAAGGCAGGUACACUUGUAAAACAAAGUAUUAAUUGCUCAUGUUCAACCAAUCUUUGCCGUGUUAAUUGUUUGUGUAAAUAUUUCUGAUUGUACAUACUAUGUAUGCUGUGUGUAGAACCUUAGCUUAGAAUGUUUCACGUUUUUAGUGUUGUAAGGCAAAUUAUCAAAUACGAGUGAGUACAUUUCUACCGACGCGUUCGGUUUAGGUGUCAAUAGACUUUGUGUUAGACAUUGUUAGAGAUAAAGCUUUGGUUUCUACCUCUAUUCAGAAUGUCUGAAAUAUUUAAAAUGUUGGUAUAUCUUGCAAUCUGCAGGCUAGUGUUAUUUUUAUGAUGGUGCGUUAUGUGUAAUAUUGUAAGCAUGAAAAUUAAAACAACUUCGUGGCUAUGAACUUAAACAUAAAAUGUGAAUUCUUAUGUAACUCUGGUAUGCAUGGAGAAUUCUCGUUUAUUUUGGUUCAUUUUAAAAUGUGUAUGUUGCAAAUGAGUUAAACUAAUAUUAUAGUUUAGUUAAUUAUUAUAUUUUACAUGUGUACAUAAUUGUAUCGUAGACUAAGUAGUCGAUUUGAAAUCAUUUCAUGGCUCACCGAGCUUGCAACUCUAACGCAAGAUAUAUUAUGCGUUUUCAGGUCUUAAAAUAUGCCUGCAACGCACUUGGUUGUCGUCAUUUUCAUUUGCGAUAUAAAGGCAAAAGAUACAACACGAUAAGUUAGGCAAAUAGACCAAGUGUGUUACGGCAUUAGGGAACGCGUAGGAAUUCAAUGUCUGAAGCACACUACUUAAUAUUUACUCCGAUUUUCAUGGCAAUAUUGUCACUGGUCUAUAUGUAUUACAAUAAUUCUGUACAGUUCUACAAUCAUGUACGAUUAUGCUUACAUCACAUUAUAAGUACCUAUAUCUGGGAACGUAUUUGGAAUAAUUGUAUUCAGGGCUUGAAGGCUAGCACAGCAGAUGCCUUAGCGCGAAACUAAAUAUUUAAUUCAUCACUAUCUGACUAUUUGAUAAGUGUGUCUAAUGUCAUGUGACGUACAUAAACCAUCUCUGUAUGAAGUUAGAACAAUGCAUAAAACAGCGUGUGGUGUGGCCUGUUGUGCUAACAACAAGUCCUUUUAUGCUUAGCCGCAGAAUAACAGUCCGACCUGUAUAUAAAAUGAUGAUUUAUCUAGUGGAAACAGUGAAAGCAUUUGUGUCGGAUCUGUAUUGUGACACCCAAGGAGCAUACAUUCAAACUAGAUGUUUCGUCCGGGCCAUUCCGUUCCGAUGAAGUAUUUAUUCAAGGGAAUUUAUUAAUACAACUUUACAUCUAUUUUAAAGAGAUUCGCCGCAUAAAGAGAGCAAUUUUGACGUGACGUCAUUCAAAGUGAUACUUCGCAUCUCGUGAGUGGCCUAGACGGAGCGUCUAGUUGGAAAAUACGGUCCUUGGUGGCGGGAAUACAUUUCAAAAUUCGUUAUUUCCCAUUGUAGCAUCGUUCGGGCAUGUAUCUUGUCAAGUAGAUUGUUUUAUGUAAUUUAAUGUUCAACUAGCAUUACUUCUCUUUACAGAUGAGACACUUUGCUGUAAUAGUAUCCUUUAUUCGCUUACGACUGUAUGUAUUAUAUACGAACUAAAACAAUAUGUUGUCGGUUAUUAUCGUUUGGAGAAUGCCUUAAUAUUUGUGAAGAUGAAAUGUUAUCUCCGAAUGGCAUUAGUACCUAGCGUGAAAUAAUGAAAAUUAUAAUAUUAUUGUGCCUGAAUGUCGCGUACUUAAACGCUAAAAUUUCCUAAGUGGAUUUAAAAUCCGAUAAAAUUAAUUUCUAUUAUACUUCCCACUACAGUUUUAUUUAUAUUCUUUCUUUUUCCAUAGUGCAAUAUCCAAUCGCAAAAUUCGUAGUUUUUUCUUCAAAACUUAGAUAUGAUAGGGCUGUAAAAUAAGGUUUAAAUUAGUUUAAUGUUAGAAGAUCCUAAAGUGCACUAAAAGCAUAAUAGGGAGUAUAUUACGUUGUGCUCUGACGAGUGUGUGUACAACCAGCAAGACUGUCAAUUGCUGUAGAUAUCCUCUUUAUAAUAGUUAUAUGAUAUAGUAUUUUUAUUAGACAAAAAUACAAUAAAUGUGUGAAGUCCAAUAUAA